GAGUUUGAUCAUGGCUCAGAUUGAACGCUGGCGGCAUGCUUUACACAUGCAAGUCGAACGGUAACAGGGAGCUUGCUCCGCUGACGAGUGGCGAACGGGUGAGUAAUGCGUCGGAACGUGCCGAGUAGUGGGGGAUAACGCAUCGAAAGGUGUGCUAAUACCGCAUACGAACUGAGGUUGAAAGUGGGGGACCUUCGGGCCUCACGCUAUUCGAGCGGCCGACGUCUGAUUAGCUAGUAGGUGAGGUAAAGGCUCACCUAGGCGACGAUCAGUAGCGGGUCUGAGAGGAUGAUCCGCCACACUGGGACUGAGACACGGCCCAGACUCCUACGGGAGGCAGCAGUGGGGAAUUUUGGACAAUGGGCGCAAGCCUGAUCCAGCCAUGCCGCGUGCCUGAAGAAGGCCUUCGGGUUGGAAAGGACUUUUGUCUGGGAGCAAAUACCCGGUGUUAAUAGCG
RNAcentral lists this ribosomal RNA (457 nucleotides) under uncultured bacterium. RNAcentral's name for it is "bacterial SSU rRNA". It matches the Rfam family "Bacterial small subunit ribosomal RNA", at positions 9 to 467 of the family's 1533-position model. The record is from RNAcentral.